Long non-coding RNA from Cyprinus carpio (common carp), 381 nucleotides. RefSeq lists it as uncharacterized. Lineage: Eukaryota; Metazoa; Chordata; Actinopteri; Cypriniformes; Cyprinidae. The record is from RefSeq and is a predicted model, not a curated record. The transcript has 4 exons.
AAAAAUCCCUACGGGAAUGUGGCCACCAACCCAACAUACUGCUUCAGCUUCUACUACCACAUGUAUGGGAAACAUAUAGGAACAUUAAAUGUGUAUUUGAGGCAGAAGAGCCAGACGGGUCAGGAUACGUCUGUUUGGACCCUGAGUGGGAACCAAGGAGACCGUUGGAGGCAAGCCAGAGUUAACAUCAAUCCCACGUCCUCUUUUCAGAUGGUUUUGGAGGGUAUACGUGGUUCUGGCAUUGAAGGGGAUAUUGCUGUAGAUGAUGUGGACCAUUAGAAGAAGGAGAGUGUCAAGACCCCCCACCCAGUAGUAAUAUAAGAUCCCUGGCUUCUCCCGCUGCAGUGCAUAUAUGGGAGCUCUGUCUCACAUUACUUUUGG